RNAcentral lists this ribosomal RNA (587 nucleotides) under uncultured bacterium. Its description in RNAcentral is "partial 16S ribosomal RNA". It matches the Rfam family "Bacterial small subunit ribosomal RNA", at positions 355 to 938 of the family's 1533-position model. The record is from RNAcentral.
UGGGGAAUUUUGGACAAUGGGGGAAACCCUGAUCCAGCCAUCCCGCGUGUGCGAUGAAGGCCUUCGGGUUGUAAAGCACUUUUGGCAGGAAAGAAACGUCGCGGGUUAAUACCCCGCGAAACUGACGGUACCUGCAGAAUAAGCACCGGCUAACUACGUGCCAGCAGCCGCGGUAAUACGUAGGGUGCAAGCGUUAAUCGGAAUUACUGGGCGUAAAGCGUGCGCAGGCGGUUCGGAAAGAAAGAUGUGAAAUCCCAGAGCUUAACUUUGGAACUGCAUUUUUAACUACCGGGCUAGAGUGUGUCAGAGGGAGGUGGAAUUCCGCGUGUAGCAGUGAAAUGCGUAGAUAUGCGGAGGAACACCGAUGGCGAAGGCAGCCUCCUGGGAUAACACUGACGCUCAUGCACGAAAGCGUGGGGAGCAAACAGGAUUAGAUACCCUGGUAGUCCACGCCCUAAACGAUGUCAACUAGCUGUUGGGGGCCUUCGGGCCUUGGUAGCGCAGCUAACGCGUGAAGUUGACCGCCUGGGGAGUACGGUCGCAAGAUUAAAACUUAAAUGAAUUGACGGGGGUCAUAGCUGUUUCCU